Molecule: long non-coding RNA, 2057 nt
Organism: Peromyscus eremicus (cactus mouse)
Lineage: Eukaryota; Metazoa; Chordata; Mammalia; Rodentia; Cricetidae
Exons: 2
Source: RefSeq, a predicted model, not a curated record
CCAAAUGCCAGUGGGGCAUUUGUUCAGUGCCCUUAUAUUGAUCCAUACAUGUUUGCAAGACUGUGCAGGAUGCUUUGGAGAGAGAAUGGAGAGCAUAAAGAGACCAAAGAGAAGUAGAAGGAAGCUGGCCUUCAGCCUCAGUGUCAGACACUGGGAAAUAAGUGGUCAUGGGAAAGGCACAGCCUUCAACAACAAUGGAGAGGACUUUAGCAUCUGCUUCUCAGGUCCUGAUGCUGAACUCAGCUGGGAUGCCAAUUUCUCCCCUCUCUAGGCCAGGGCCCUGCCUGGAUCUUGUGAGCACCUCCUUCACCAAAGGGCCCGUGUGAACUGGAAGGGGUUUCAUGUUACAUUCUGGCUAUGGUAUUUUACACUGAUUGUGUGAAUGCCCAUUUCCUGGGACACAAAUUGGACACAGUGAGAGUUCUUCCCCACAGACACCUUGGGUGACAUGGACCGAGGGGCUGGUGACCUGGGCAGAUAUGUCACUGCUGUUUUCUGGAAUCUUCAAGUUCGCAUCACAGAUACUGCCAACUAUGGCCAUAGAUAGAGCCUGGCUGGUCCAAGUGAUGCUCUGUUUGACUCUUCCCUCACCACUGAUCUUCACAGUGAAUGGACUUCUAGGCACAUUCUCAUCCACAAAUUUGUUGGAAAUGAUACAGACCCCAGGCUCAGUGGGGAGGUAGGAUACCUUGUGGACAAUGUCCUCCAGGUAGUCUAUCUGGAUUUCCACAUCGCUGGAUCAUUCUACCACCAAGAAUAUGCCACCAUAACCUUCAUCUCUUGAGUCUACAAUAAAGUCAGAUAUCUCUAAAGUCUGGCCUUCUGACAGGUUUUGGUCACAUAGACUUGGGUGCAGCACAAAUUGUCAGUUUCAGACUGGAUCAUGAUAAUGGAUAUGGGAUUCCAGUAAUGUGGUUGCCAUUCUUCUUGAUGCUGACUAGAUAUUCUCCCACCUCUCAGAGGAUGAAAGAAAUGCCAGUGUGGUUUGGGGGCAGCUUCUUCAGCAGACAGGGCUUGUCAUGUCCAGAUGGGGCUCGAUACUGACUGUCAUGUAUUAAGGUCAGUCUCACUGAUGUCCAGAAGGAAGUUGGCCACUGAUCCUUGUGGUGAUAUAUUGUGUACCCUAACAAAUUUGCCUGAAGAUCAGAGAACAGAACAAGCCACCAGAUUAAACAUAGAGGCCAAACAGUGGUGGCAUACACCUUUAAUACUAGCACUUGGGAGGCAGAAAUCUGUCUAGAUCUCUGUGAGUUCAAAGUCUCCCUGGACUACAUGUGAUUGACUCAGUUUAGAAGAGAAAACAGAGCCAGGCAGUAUUUGGAUACACCUUUAAUCCCAGUACUGGGAAGCACACAUGCCUUUAAUUCCAGGAAGUGAUAGCUAGGUGGAGAAAGGUAUAUAAGGUAUGAGGAGACAGGAAGUAGAGGCUCCUAGAGGCUUUUCAGCUGGAGGUGCUUUUGGAUGAGGACAGCCCUUUCAGCUGAAGGCUUUUUGGCUAAGGAAGCUCUUUCAAGUUGAGGAGUUGGUGAGGUCAGAGGUGGUGGCUGUGGCUUGCACUGGGUCUAUCAAGACGGCAUAUCCUCAGGGUCUUGGGAGGUUCUAGAACUCCUGUCUUGUAAUAUCCACACCCACCCCAAACUAUGCCAUUGGGAUAAGUGAUUAAAACAGCCUCUUCUGACUUAUUCACAGCUGCACAGGAUGCAACUUGGCUUCAAAGUCCUCGGCCAUGUAGUUUCAGAAGACAGGAGAAAAUUUGCAUUGUUCACAAGCACUCAGGUAGUGUUCAGAGGCCCAAGUCACUUGAUGGAUGCUUCAGACCUUCAUGUUGAUGGACCAGAUUCACAAAGCCACCCUCACUGACAGCCCAGGACAUCCAGAGCCAGGAAGGGGACAAUCUCUGUCAUAGUCCAUUGCCUCUAACAGCUCCCAGACUUCACUAGAAAUCUUUGUGCCACCCACAGCUAGGAACUCAGAAGCCUUAGGUGUCAGUGGCAUGCAGUGGUACUUGGUAGUUCCUAGUCUGCUAAUAGCUAUAAUGUAAAGUGUGAGAAUCUCCA